RNAcentral lists this unclassified non-coding RNA (253 nucleotides) under uncultured Caryophanales bacterium. Its description in RNAcentral is "uncultured Bacillales bacterium contains 16S-23S intergenic spacer region". It matches the Rfam family "Bacterial small subunit ribosomal RNA", at positions 524 to 776 of the family's 1533-position model. Lineage: Bacteria; Bacillati; Bacillota; Bacilli; Caryophanales. The record is from RNAcentral.
UACGUAGGGGGCAAGCGUUGUCCGGAAUUAUUGGGCGUAAAGCGCGCGCAGGCGGUUUCUUAAGUCUGAUGUGAAAACCCACGGCUUAACCCUGGGGGGUCAUUGGAAACUGGGGAACUUGAGUACAGGAGAGGAGAGUGGAAUUCCACGUGUAGCGGUGAAAUGCGUAGAUAUGGGGAGGAACACCCGUGGCGAAGGCGACUCGCUGGUCUGUAACUGACGCUGAGGCGCGAAAGCGUGGGGAGCGAACAGG